Long non-coding RNA from Erigeron canadensis, 505 nucleotides. RefSeq lists it as uncharacterized. Lineage: Eukaryota; Viridiplantae; Streptophyta; Magnoliopsida; Asterales; Asteraceae. The transcript has 2 exons. The record is from RefSeq and is a predicted model, not a curated record.
AAAAAAAGCAAAAUGUAGAACCUUCAUUAUGGGUCAAGACCUAGAAAUGAUAUGUGCAUACAGAAAUUCAUUCCACGUGUCGGGUAAUCCUGAUUGAGGUGUGUGCAUCUUUUCGGUACUCUGAAAGAGUGGUUAUGUUGAGAAAAUGAACUGGAAAUUGCAUUGUUUUCAUCACAUUGGUUGCAACUGUAAAGAGUCGUCGGUCUGUGCCCACGUUUAGUGGCAUGGACAUAUUCAGGAUCGGACUUGUUUCUUUGGCACAUUUGAUGCCGUUAGGGUUGUUCCAGUCCAAGCUUCUACGGAAUUUCAACAAUAAUUUAUAAACAAGGUUACUAUACAAAUAUAUAAUUGCAACAUUGAGAAGAAUCUUGGGAGAUAAGAUCAUGAUUUGUGUUUCGCAAGACAGUCAAGACUCAAGAUCAUGUUAUAAGAAAAUCUGUUUAGUAUGUAAAUAAAUCUGGAAACAUAAAGUUAAUAUAUAUUAUUAGGCAUUUGGUUGUUAAAA